Molecule: small nucleolar RNA, 104 nt
Filed under: Nicotiana sylvestris (wood tobacco)
Lineage: Eukaryota; Viridiplantae; Streptophyta; Magnoliopsida; Solanales; Solanaceae
Description: Plant small nucleolar RNA R71
Rfam family: Plant small nucleolar RNA R71
About the family: R71 is a member of the C/D box family of snoRNAs containing the C (UGAUGA) and D (CUGA) box motifs. Multiple nearly identical copies of this snoRNA have been identified in Arabidopsis, and it is thought to function as a 2'-O-ribose methylation guide for 18S ribosomal RNA.
Source: Rfam by way of RNAcentral
CCGCUAUGUUGAUAAUUUCUAACUAUCUCCUUAAACCUCUCCUAUGCUUCAAAAAUAGUUUCAGUUUCUUUCUGGGAGAAUUUUUGAAUUUCUCUUCUAAACUU